Non-coding RNA from Globicephala melas (long-finned pilot whale), 6139 nucleotides. The record is from RefSeq and is a predicted model, not a curated record. Lineage: Eukaryota; Metazoa; Chordata; Mammalia; Artiodactyla; Delphinidae.
GGGGCCACGCCCCCGGGGAGCGGAGGCCGGCGGGCGCAGGCGAAAUUCCGCAGGGAGCGCGGUGAGGAGCUAGCGGUUGGGGUCGGGUCUCCGGGCGCGUACUCCCCCCGCCGGUGAGGGUGAACUAACGGAGGUGGGCGGGCCGGCGCGCCGGGUUAGCAGGCGUUUAUCCUGUAUGGCCGCAGCAGUCAGCGCCCUUCACCAGCACGAGCCCCGCCUGCAGAGCCCUCGGCGGCAUCCAGCAGAAGGCCUCCCGCGGGAACUGUCACUCCGCCAAAAUACUCACAGCAAGAGAGUUAAACAAGCAAAAGUCUAGAAACAAGCCAGCUGUCCAUCUACAGUGGAAAGCAUAAACAAAUUGUGAUGUGUUCACGUACUGGAGUUCUACCCUGGCGUGAAAAAUCCACGAGCCACAGCUGCAAGCAACAAUAUGGUAAAGUCUUCGUGAAAGGCAUCAGUUGGAACCUCAGAGUUUGGAUUUCUCUGCAGGUGUGCUGGGGGCCUCAGCGUCCGUGUGCCUCAGCUGCCUGGGCUCAGUCUGUCCAGGAGGGAUUUGGAAAGGACCCACGCACCGCCCAACUGCCUUGCAAAGUGGCUGCACCACGUGUGUCCCCACCAGCGGUGAGCGUUCCGGCUGCCCCACAUCCUCGCCAGCAUUUGGUGUUGUCGGUGCUCUGGAUUUUGGCCAUUCUCAGAGGUGUGUAGUGGUGUCUCAUUGCUGUUUUAAUUUGCAUUUCCCUGAUGACAUAGGAUGUGGAGCAUCCUUUCAUACAUGCUUACUUGCCAUCUGUAUAUCUUCUUUGCUGAGGUAUCUAUUAAGGUCUUUGGCCAGUUUUUUUAGUUGGGUUGUUUUCUUGAGUUUCGAGAGUUCUUUGAGUUGAGUUGAAUUUUGAGAGUUCUUUGUCUAUUUUGGAUAAUAACCCUUUAUCAAAUGUGUCUUUUGCAAAUAUUUUUUUCCACUAUGUGGCUUAUCUUUUAAUUCCCUUGAUAUUGCCUUUUGCAGAGCAGAAGUUUUUAAUUUUAAUGAAAUCCAGCUAAACAAUUAUUUCUUUCAUGGAUCGUGUCUUUGGUGUUGUAUCUAAAACAGCAUCACCGUACCCAAGAUCAUCUAGGUUUUCUCCUAUGUUAUCUGCUAGGGGGGUUGCAUUUUACACUUAGGUCUAUGAUCCAUGUUGAGUUAAUUAGGUUAGACUUUUGACAGUAUUUAUAUGAUAGAUUGCUCAAAACUAUCUGCACUCCUAAGUUUGUUGCAGCAUCACUUACAAUAGCCAAGAUAUGGGAACAACCUAUGUGUCCAUCGAAAGAUGAAUGGAUAAAGAAAAUGUGAUGUAUACAUACAAUCAAAUAUUAUUCAGCCUUAAAAAAGAAUACACGUUAUAUUCUGUUUUAUGCUACAACAUGGAUGAACCAGGAGGGCAUCACGCUCACUGAAGUAAGCCCGUCCCAGAAGGACAAAUCCUGCAUGAUUCCACUUAUCUGAGGAAUCUAAAGUAAUCAAACUCACAGAAGCAGAGGGUAGCAUGGUUGUUGCCAGGGGCUGGGGGAGGGGAGACAUGUGGAGUUGGUAAUAGGCAUAAAGUUUCCGUUGUGCAGGAUAAACAGUUUCCAGAGAUCUGUUGUACAACUUAGUGCCUCCAGUUAACAAUUCUGGUUUUUUUUUCUUGAAAAUUAGUUUUAAGAGUGUAGCUCUCAAAAAAGAGAAAAAAAAGAGUGUAGCUCUCAUGUUAAGUGUUCUUAUGACAAAGACGGUAGGGGCAUGAGGAAGUUAGCAGGUGAUGGAUAAGUUUAUUGACUGUGGUGAUGGUAUCACAGGUGAAAGCACAUGUCCAUACUAAACAAAGUGUAUACAUCAAAUACGUGUGUUUUUGUAUAUAACAGUUGUGUCUCAAUAAAGCCAUAAAUAAAAUUGAUCAGGUUACUGUGAUACACUUACGCUAGGUUAUUUUUUGAAAAGAGAUUCCUAUGCUUUAGAUAUCAGCAUACCAAGUGUUGGUAUUUGCACAGCAAGGCUGAGGUCAUAUUCUAAACAUCUAAAACCCUGGCUUAUUUCGCUAUCCUCAUGAAGGACAGCUGUAUCCUCCACGGAAUAGGAUUAUGGAGGCAACAAAGGCAAACUACUUUUCCAUAGUUCCGACAAAUACUCAGUUACAGCACCAUCAUUCUGUUCCUCUGCGUAGAAUAAGAGCAAUAGGGACAAGGCCAGGGUUAAACCCUAUUUCUUGUCCCAUUUAGGGCUCUGUUAAAGGAUAUUUUAAGGACAUCCUCUACUAUCAUAAAAGAACUAAGCAUCAGGUACCGGAAGCACAGAGGGCCCCAAACAAGAUGAACCCAAACAGACCUACAUCAAGACAUAUGACAAUUAAAAUGGCAAAAGUUAAAGAGGAGUCUAAAGGCCGCAAGAGAAAAACAAAGAGUUCAUUUCAAGGGAACCACAUAAGGGUACCUAUCUAUCAGCUGAUUUCUCUAGAGAAACAUUGCAGGCCAGGAGGGAGUGGCAAGCUAUAUUCAAAGUCCUGAAGGAGAAAAACCUGCAACAGAGGUACUCUACCCAGCAAGAUUAUUAGAACAGAAGCAGAGAGAAAGAAUUUCUCAGACAAGCAAAAACUAAAAGAAUACAGUAAUACUAAACCUACCCUAAAAGAAAUAUUGAAAUGUCUUCUCUAAAUAGAAAAGAAGCAAGAAUCUAUAAGAAAGGGAAAAUCACAAUAGGAAAAGCAAAUAUAUAAAAGAAUUGUAGAUCACUUAAAUAAGCCAGUACAUAGAUUUAAAAAAAAACAGUCAAAAAAGUUUGUGAAAGUGAUUAUAACCACAAUGAACAGCAAAAGGAUAAACAUGAAGAUGUAAAAUAGGACAUCAAAAUCAUAAAAGGUGGGCGAGGGGAGUAAGAAAAUGUAGAUUUUUUUUUAGAAUCUGUUUGAGCUGGGGGAGGAGGGAUAAAUUAGGAGCUUGGGAUUAACAGGUACACACUACUAUGUGUAAAAUAGAGAAACAACAAGGUCCUACUGUAUAGCACAGGGAACUAUAUUCAAAACCUUGUAAUAGACUAUAAUGCAAAAGAAUCUGAAAAAGAAUAUGUAUGUAUGACAGAGUCACUCUGCUGUGCACCGGAAACUAACACAACUUUGUCAAUCAACUAUACUUCAAUAAAAAAUAAAAGAAAAAUAAAAGAACUAAGCGAGGCUUCAGGAAAUGUAUACCAACGGAUUCACCAAAUAAUAAAAUAAGUUCAUCAGUUACAUAAGGUUGCUUAGUAUUAUCGAAUCAGAUGCCAGAGGCAGGCUGACAAGAACGCCUAUUUUGGUGUUGGCGUGACGAUACUUUACUGUUUCUCUUGACAGUACCUGAUGGGUAGGUUUAGCUGUGUCCUGAGGGCCCUGGGAACACAGCAGUAGUUCUGCAUCAUCGACCCGAAGGAGGACUUCCUGUUGGUUUAAUUUUAGAGACCACGUGACCAGAUCAGCUAAGAACUAUUCUGAAAUCUUUAGAUGUAAGGACUGUGUCAAACAGAGCCAUCUUAACAUAAUUAAACAUGGAAUUUGGUGUCAGGAGGCCAUUCCUCCCCACUCUGAUUUCCUCAGAGACAUUAUGAUAAAGGCAAAAGGUGCAUUAAAAGCUUUGGAUCUAUAUUGAGGUCGUAAAAUCUCGCCCAUAGACAGUUCCUGUCUGGGGAUUCAUAUGCCAGAAAUAGAUCAAUAAAUGCUGUGAAAAGUUCUACACUAUUUUCAACCAACUGCUCUAUAAAGUAUAAGUGAAUGCUCGCUAGCUGGGCGUGUUAAAUUACAGUAGCUGGGAGUAUUAAAUUACAAUACACUCAAAUAAUUUGUUUUCUAUUUAUUUUCUUGGGGAAAUUAACUGAGAAAUGAAAUGUUAGACUUGCCUCGUUUUCCGGGUAAAAUCCUGAAAAUAAGCCCUGACCGACACCAACCCCAGAUAGGUGCCCUUUCCCACCCCACAGUAGAUGCUGGAUGGCGACUCUUAUUCUUGGGCUAUCAGGGUGAGAACCUGAUAUUGUAAAACUCUAAUGGUGGGACUUUCCUGGUGGCGCAGUGGUUAAGAAUCUGCCUGCCGAUGCAGGGGACAUGGGUUCGAGCCCUGGUCCGGGAAGAUCCCACAUGCCGCGGAGCAACUGAGCCCAAGUGCCACAACUACUGAGCCUGCGCUCUAGAGCCCAUGAGCCACACUACUGAAGGCCACGUACUUAGAGCCCGUGCCACACAACAAGAGAAGCCACCGCAAUGAGAAGCCCACACACCUCAACAAAGAGUAGCCCCUGCUCGCCGCAACUAGAGGAAGCCUGCACGAAGCAACGAAGACCCAACGCAGCCAAAAACAAAUAAAUAAAUUUAUUAAAGAAACAAAAACUCUAGUGGUGGCACAAAGUUUGCAAUCAGAGAAAUGCCUUUCUCGUGGCAAAAGCCAGCUAUUCCCAACUGGCCAGAAAUAAGACAAAAGAAGCAAAUGCAUCUUGGUAUAGAUGUCCACUCUUUGAAAACCUGUAUAAACUGCUCUGAAUGACAGAACAUGGGCAGGUUUCUGUGGUCUUCAGGAAGGUGGCAGGUGGCUGGAUCAAACUCAGGCCUAAUAAGCGUCGCCAAGGUGAGGGGACCUUCGCUCCAUCUCUCCAACAGGAAGGAUCACUUUCCAGGCAACUGAAAGAUUCAUCACACAUUUCACAAAGGAGACACGAGGUUCGGUAAUGUGAGACCUUGAUUUACGAUGGUCUUUUGAUUUACUGCUGUGUCUUUUUCAACCAUGCUAUUUCAAACACGCCUCAUUUAAAAGCUCGUGUUUAGGCAGUGUUUGGGGCUAAAGAUUGACUCUAUGCUAAUAGGAAAAUUAGUCUGUCUACACAUAGUCCCAGAUCUCCCAAGCCACGGGGCCAACCUCCAACAAAAUUGCUUGCCGGGUGAUAGAUACUGGUUUUCUUCUGGGUAGUUACUAUGUCUUUGUCUUUUUUUUUUUUUUUUUUCCAAAUGCCGUUUAAAUGUUACGGAAGCAACAUAAGAAAGAUGCUUCGUAGCAGCAGUCUUGCUGGGUGAAUACAAAUGAUAAGUAUUUUUAGAGGGGCCCGUUUCUCAACAGUACGACACCACUCGUGCAGCUCUUUAUCCUUCAGGGAGCACUUGGAAAUGCCUCGCUGGAGUCAUGGGUAGCCUGCCAGGGAGAUGCAGCCAGCACUCUCCGCACUGGCUCGCUCAAGCUCUGCCACCCCCGCACCAGCAAGGUGAGGGGCGACUGCAAUUCUGUGUCUGUUGCACACCGUUCCUGCUGCCUCCUGGGAUCUCGGGGACACGAAGCGAAUUGAUAUGUUUCUGAAAGCUUAGACUAGUGCCUGGCUCAUAGCAAACACGCCCUGAAUGUGAGCCAUGCUUAUUGUGAUUGACGUGGGAAAAAUUAAAUGUCAUUACAUGCUAAAUAUCACUAGCACAAGAGUUUACUGCAAGACCACUGGAUGAUUUUUUAAAGGACCUCUUAAAAUUCUCCUGAAGAACUAAAAGUGUUGCAGUGUGGAUAACUGAAAUAAUCAAAAUGAGCCCACAAUUUCCCACGUGAACCUCGAGAUCCAAGCGACUCGGCCAGGGAUUCCCAGCUCUGAUGCUGUGAACAGUAAAAACCUCUCCACUUGCAUCAGCCAAGAAACAGGCGUUUUCUGAAGGCCUUUAUGCCAGGCUCUGAGAAAACAGAAAAGUGUGACCCAGGUCCCCGGCCUUGGGGAAGACAAGCAAGGGCUGGGGAAUUCUGAGUGAGGGGGACAUCUGGCGAAAGGGAAGGAGAGACUCAAGGUCAAUUUCAAAACAGAGGUCAUAUUUGCUUGGGACUAAAUGGGUGAGGCAGUGGCGCCACGAGCACGGGGGAAGGCGGCCCCACUAGGCAGAGGGAAGGACGAACAGGAAGCUGGGGUGUAGCUCUGGUGGCUCCGGGGACAGAGGGAGAAGGAGCCACCUGAAAUGUACGGCGGUGCUGUCUGCCCACCACCCCUGCCCCUGCCUCCAGGGAGUAAUCCAUCCUCCACUCUGGAGCGCGUCUCCUGGGGUCCUCAUGCAGUCGUCAUCCUCACGGUGGUCCAUUCUCCUGGGCACACGAGGGCUUCGGGAAACAGAAGGAAUGGAAUAGGAUCCCCACCCUCCUUUUCCCAAAG